RNAcentral lists this ribosomal RNA (417 nucleotides) under Triticum aestivum (bread wheat). Its description in RNAcentral is "partial small subunit ribosomal RNA". The record is from RNAcentral. Lineage: Eukaryota; Viridiplantae; Streptophyta; Magnoliopsida; Poales; Poaceae.
AUGCUUGUGGACAAAUUCUAUCUAGCGGAUUUUUCUAGUCAAGAGCAGGCUCGCCUGGAGUCACAACUUCCACACUAUCAGUUAGAUGUUUGCAACCAUCCAGAGCUGAAUUCUUCGUCAUCACUGGCUGAUUUGACCAUUGCAUUGCAUAAAACGGGUAAAGCCUCUGUGUAUCCAAUGGUUUAUAGAUUAUUGCGCUUGGUCAUCACUCUCCCGGUGUCAACUGCAACUGCGGAGAGGGCUUUUCUAGCAAUGAAGAUUAUCAAGAUGCGUCUCCGAAGUAAAAUGGGUGACGAUUUUCUUCGACCUUACAUGGUUGUAUACAUUGGGAAGGAAAUAGCUGCAAAGUUCAAUGUUAAUGAGAUUAUUGAUUUGUUUGAUCGACCGGCUGGGGGCGUAGAUCUACAUUCAAACUAG